Long non-coding RNA from Cannabis sativa, 339 nucleotides. RefSeq lists it as uncharacterized. The record is from RefSeq and is a predicted model, not a curated record. Lineage: Eukaryota; Viridiplantae; Streptophyta; Magnoliopsida; Rosales; Cannabaceae. The transcript has 2 exons.
AACAACUUUCAGAUUUGAUCUUUGCUUUGCUUCACUUUGGUAUUUUUGCAGAUUCACUGAUGAUCCACUAGUUAGUAUUACUGCUACCAACUGAUUGCUUCCUCAAUCGAUAUUAUUAUCAUCAAUAAUUUGCUUUUCAGUGAGAAAGAAAUUAGUACUGGUCCUUAGUGAACAUACUCAAAAAUCAAGCUCCUCCUUCAAUAUCUUCAGCCCAAAAAUCUGAAUUCCAAAAUACACGCUAGAUUUGUGCACCUUGACUUCACGCCUGCUGCAGAGGGAGGAGAGGGUUCAUGACCGCACUCUCUAGUUAAUGACAAGAGCUUAAAAUUGAGCAGAGCU